UCUUCAUUUAGCAUUGUCUCUCGCCGGUCAGAGAGGCGAGAGAGUGUGUGAAAUGAAGAGA
This 61-nucleotide microRNA precursor is filed under the name Pristionchus pacificus. RNAcentral describes it as "mir-8364 microRNA precursor family". It matches the Rfam family "mir-8364 microRNA precursor family". The record is from Rfam by way of RNAcentral. Lineage: Eukaryota; Metazoa; Nematoda; Chromadorea; Rhabditida; Neodiplogasteridae.